AUACGGAGGGUGCAAGCGUUAAUCGGAAUUACUGGGCGUAAAGCGUACGUAGGCGGUUGGUUAAGUUAGAAGUGAAAGCCCCGGGCUUAACCUGGGAACUGCAUUUAAAACUGGCGAACUAGAGUUGAGUAGAGGGGAGUGGAAUUUCAGGUGUAGCGGUGAAAUGCGUAGAGAUCUGAAGGAACACCAGUGGCGAAGGCGACUCCCUGGACUCGAACUGACGCUGAGGUACGAAAGCGUGGGUAGCAAACGGGAUUAGAAACCCUAGUAGUCC
This 274-nucleotide ribosomal RNA is filed under the name uncultured bacterium. Its description in RNAcentral is "partial 16S ribosomal RNA". It matches the Rfam family "Bacterial small subunit ribosomal RNA", at positions 523 to 796 of the family's 1533-position model. The record is from RNAcentral.